Athene cunicularia (burrowing owl) is the source of this 1528-nucleotide RNA transcript. It is a transcript of the gene named regulatory factor X associated ankyrin containing protein, with no coding region annotated. The transcript is spliced from 11 exons. The record is from RefSeq and is a predicted model, not a curated record. Lineage: Eukaryota; Metazoa; Chordata; Aves; Strigiformes; Strigidae.
GGGCAGGGGGGCCGUGCCGGGGGUCCCGGCCCUCCGGCUGUGGUGGGGAGGCAGAGGGCUGCCCGGGAGCUGCUCGGCGCAGGGUUCCCGCAGGGAACACCCGUGUUUACAGCAGCGAGGGGGGAACUGAUGCAAUUCCCAAGCUCCCGUUACGUGAGCGGAGCCGCCCGGGGCAGCAGGUGGGAUGGGGGUUAUCACAGACUCGCUGGAAAUCAGCUCCCACGCCAGCCCCACAGCGGGGAUGUGGCCUUCCGUCCCUGCCACGCCGGGGGAUGGCGAGCUGCCUCAUGGAAGGGGAAAAAGCAGUCGCUCAUCUCGUGGAGACUCCCCUGAACGACACGGACACCCAGGAGCAACAGAAAGAGGGUGAAAAUGGAGCCGAGAGAGCAGCAGCCGCAGAGGAGCUGGCAGAGACCAGGGACACGGGGGACAGCGGGGCUCCCCCGGGGACUCUGCGCCCAGACCAGGACGUGCCACGUGUGAACCACCGGGACGGUGCAGCAGAGACUCUCCUGAAGCCCUCGACUGCCUCGAUGGACAGGCAGAGGAGCACCGAGCUCUUGGCCCUGGACAGUUUCCCCCUGAAGCACUCGAACACGCUGACGAACCGGCAGCGAGGCAACGAGGUCUCUGCCCUCCCAGCCACGCUGGACACAUUGUCCAUCCACCAGCUUGCUGCCCAAGGUGAGCUCAGCCAGCUGAAGGAGCACCUUCGGAAGGGUGAGAACUUGGUAAAUAAACCUGAUGAGAGAGGUUUCACACCUCUGAUCUGGGCUGCAGCCUUCGGAGAGAUCGAAACGGUCCGUCACCUGCUGGAAUGGGGCGCUGACCCCCACGCGCUGGCGAAGGAGCGGGAGAGCGCCCUGGCCCUGGCCAGCAUGGGCGGCUACACCGACAUCGUGGUCAUGCUGCUGGAGAGGGAUGUGGACAUCAACAUCUACGACUGGAACGGCGGCACUCCCCUGCUCUACGCCGUGCGCGGCAAUCACGUCAAGUGUGUCGAGGCCCUACUAGGUAACGGGGGAAGAUCUGCACUUAGUCCUUGGCCUCGAAUCCGCUGCCCGUUGCUCGUGGCGCUGAUCUGACGACGGAGGCAGAUUCUGGCUACACGCCGAUGGAUCUCGCCGUGGCCCUGGGACACAAGAAAGUCCAACAGGUGAUCGAAAAUCACAUCCUCAAGCUAUUCCAGAACAAGGAGCAGGAGUGAUGCAGCCACUCGCGCUGCACUGCUGCAGCGCCAGCGCUUCUCCCGGCCCACACAGGACCCUCCUCUGGGACCACCACGGCCUCACCCAGCCGUCCCACAAUGAACGGGGCAGCGGCACGAUGCCUCCAGCAAGAAGCACGUGGAGGAUGCCAGGAACCUCGGUGGAUCUGUGCCUCUCCGCGACGGCCACGGUCCCCUGCACCCGGGGACACUCAUUCCUCAGAGCAGCUGCAUUUCUGCCCUGUCCGGGCUCGGCUGCUUGUGCGUGUGUGCGUUCAGGUAUUGCAUUAUUGGAAUUAAACUCUAAAGCAGCUGCGUGGA